RNAcentral lists this long non-coding RNA (305 nucleotides) under Lathyrus oleraceus (garden pea). RNAcentral describes it as "Pisum sativum (pea) long non-coding RNA (PSAT_LNC021201)". The record is from RNAcentral. Lineage: Eukaryota; Viridiplantae; Streptophyta; Magnoliopsida; Fabales; Fabaceae.
GAUAAAUAAAUAAUCAAUUUUAUUUUCAUCUGUUUUUAUUAAAAAUUAUGCGAAUUUUAUUUCGUUAGUUUUGAACUCAAUUUGAUCAUCUAAAAAUAUCUAAGGGGUAUGUGAGAAUUUAAAUAAAAUAAAAACCCUACUUGCCUAAUAUUUAAGCUUAGCAUUGAUGCAUUUAGAAGGCAUCAUAAGUCGCCCAUAUUUCAUCUCUCAUCCAUAAUUAUUUCAAUUCGAAAUGAAACAAAAACAAAAAUAAAAAAAAUAAAAGAAGAAGACUCAGCUUCUUCGUUGGAACCUGCCAACAUCUU